UGCAGUCAUGUAUACUUGCGUGUAUUCUUUAUUAUAGUCUACACUCUGAAAUGGCUGCUAAUACUAAACAUGUAGCUCAUGGGCCUCUGUGCUCUGACUUGUGAACAUGGAGGAUAAUAAUAUGCUACGUACAAAA
This is a small nucleolar RNA of Hemiscyllium ocellatum (epaulette shark), 136 nucleotides long. RefSeq annotates it as small nucleolar RNA SNORA5. The transcript has a single exon. Lineage: Eukaryota; Metazoa; Chordata; Chondrichthyes; Orectolobiformes; Hemiscylliidae. The record is from RefSeq and is a predicted model, not a curated record.